AGUGAACGCUGGCGGUAGGCCUAACACAUGCAAGUCGAACGGCAGCACAGUAAGAGCUUGCUAUUACGGGUGGCGAGUGGCGGACGGGUGAGGAAUACAUCGGAAUCUACUUUUUCGUGGGGGAUAACGUAGGGAAACUUACGCUAAUACCGCAUACGACCUACGGGUGAAAGCAGGGGAUCUUCGGACCUUGCGCGAUUGAAUGAGCCGAUGUCGGAUUAGCUAGUUGGCGGGGUAAAGGCCCACCAAGGCAACGAACCGUAGCUGAUCUGAGAGGAUGAUCAGCCACACUGGAACGGAGACACGCUCCCGACUCCUCCGGGAGGCAGCAGUGGGGAAUAUUGGACAAUGGGCGCAAGCCUGAUCCAGCCAUACCGCGUGGGUGAAGAAGGCCUUCGGGUUGUAAAGCCCUUUUGUUGGGAAAGAAAAGCAGCAGGUUAAUACCCCGAUGUUCUGACGGUACCCAAAGAAUAAGCACCGGCUAACUUCGUG
RNAcentral lists this ribosomal RNA (492 nucleotides) under uncultured bacterium. RNAcentral's name for it is "partial 16S ribosomal RNA". It matches the Rfam family "Bacterial small subunit ribosomal RNA", at positions 29 to 507 of the family's 1533-position model. The record is from RNAcentral.